RNAcentral lists this ribosomal RNA (802 nucleotides) under Actinomycetales bacterium. RNAcentral's name for it is "bacterial SSU rRNA". It matches the Rfam family "Bacterial small subunit ribosomal RNA", at positions 48 to 882 of the family's 1533-position model. Lineage: Bacteria; Bacillati; Actinomycetota; Actinomycetes; Actinomycetales. The record is from RNAcentral.
CUUACCAUGCAGUCGAACGAGACUUCGGUCUAGUGGCGAACGGGUGAGUAACACGUGGGCAACCUGCCCCGAGCUCUGGGAUAACCCCGGGAAACCGGAGCUAAUACCAGAUACGACCCUCGAAGACAUCUUCGUGGGUGGAAAGUUUUUCGGCUCGGGAUGGGCCCGCGGCCUAUCAGCUUGUUGGUGGGGUAACGGCCUACCAAGGCGACGACGGGUAGCCGGCCUGAGAGGGCGACCGGCCACACUGGGACUGAGACACGGCCCAGACUCCUACGGGAGGCAGCAGUGGGGAAUAUUGCGCAAUGGGCGAAAGCCUGACGCAGCGACGCCGCGUGAGGGAUGAAGGCCUUCGGGUUGUAAACCUCUUUCAGCAGGGACGAAGCGAAAGUGACGGUACCUGCAGAAGAAGCACCGGCCAACUACGUGCCAGCAGCCGCGGUAAUACGUAGGGUGCAAGCGUUGUCCGGAAUUAUUGGGCGUAAAGAGCUCGUAGGCGGUCUGUCGCGUCGGCUGUGAAAACCUGGGGCUCAACCCCAGGCCUGCAGUCGAUACGGGCAGACUAGAGUCCGGCAGGGGAGACUGGAAUUCCUGGUGUAGCGGUGAAAUGCGCAGAUAUCAGGAGGAACACCGGUGGCGAAGGCGGGUCUCUGGGCCGGAACUGACGCUGAGGAGCGAAAGCGUGGGGAGCGAACAGGAUUAGAUACCCUGGUAGUCCACGCCGUAAACGUUGGGCGCUAGGUGUGGGGAACCUUCCACGUUCUCCGUGCCGCAGCUAACGCAUAGCGUCCGCUGGGGAGUA